Molecule: long non-coding RNA, 279 nt
Filed under: Manihot esculenta (cassava)
Lineage: Eukaryota; Viridiplantae; Streptophyta; Magnoliopsida; Malpighiales; Euphorbiaceae
Description: long non-coding RNA (MESC_LNC000639)
Source: RNAcentral
UGCAUUAGUGUACACGAAUAUGACGCAUUGCAUCUAUCCUUGUACUUGGCAUGGCUCCUUGUACAUUGCUUCUAUGAGAUGGCACGGACUUCGUGAGGAUUCAUUAGCCCUCAGAGGAAAGACCUGGAACAGCCCUACGGGGACCAGGCACAAAGACCUGGAACAGCCCUACGGGGACCAGGCACAAAGACCUGGAACAGCCCUACGGGGACCAGGCACGUGGUACUCCGGUACCCCUGUGAGCUCCUUUGUGGGCUAGAUAGAGAUAGAGGGANNNNN